AAGCAGUCUAGAUUUUGAGGUCAAUGUCAGGUGUUUUACCUCCUAAGGUAAAGUAUCAGCUGUUAAACAUUCUCACAUGCAAACUACUUCCUUGACUGAUCCUACAGGUAUGGGCAGACUCAGCACUGCAUUUUGUCAUGGAAAGUUCUCACCUCGGAGGCUGCGGCAUGCCUUCGACAAGUGGCCAGGGGAUCCAGACAGAGCCAGCCCAGUCGCCACUGUUUUUAUACAUAGACUUUCAGGGCAUAGUUGGCGUGCCACUGAACCGUGAUCCACGUCACUCGGUUUGUCUGCAAGACCUGCCACACAAAAUGCUACAAGUGCCACACAAUACUGCUCAUAUUUAUGCAGAGGGUUAACAUCUUGCCCUCUGUGAAUGUGCACACCAGAGACAGGUGAGAAACUGCAAGCAACUGUAAUGUCACAAUGUAGAGAGCGGCGAUUGCAAAACUACGAGGGUCAGCAAUGAGCUAGUCUGCAAAUCUGGCCCAAAACAGCAGUGAAACUAUAACAUGAUAUUGAUCUUGGUUUCAGGAAGAGUUCAGAGGGCUCUCAAUGAACGGUGGAUCCCAUCUUGUUGUCCUGGUGUCCUGGGCCUACCACCAUGCAGAGGACUGCCGCUCUUGCCCUGAGCUGAAAGAAGUGCUGGAGAGGCAGUGCUGGGGCUCAGUAAGUGCCGUCUGGGGGUGUGUGGAUGGACAUAGUUACACACAGACCACAAAGCCCAGCGCAAACCCUGGACACUGAGUGUGAUCCCCUACUGGAAGGUGAGGAGCAGCCUAGAGGGAACCAACACCACCAUGUCCCAGCCCAGUCCAGCUGCCACCCCACAGACUCAGAGUGCCGUCCACACUGAUGCUACCACCACCAGUGCAGAUGGUCAGACAGCUUUUGGUACCUCCAAAGUUACCCUGGGAAACAGAACACUCAGUAUUACAUUUCAGUGUUUACUGAAGUAUAGUCUUGACUGCAUUGACAUGUAUGGCUCUUUGCAGAUGGUUACCAUCUUAUUGCCUGUUGCCAGUUCAAAUUAAUUUGUUUGACCCUCUUGCCCCUAGAAUUUCUCUUUGGUGAGGAGACACCCUCUCCUGCACCAGCCCUGCUCAUGGACAGGCCAGAAUUGCUUCCCCGAAGAAGAGAACCAGAAUAAAAGAAGCAAUUGGAUUGAGGUGAAGUAUCCAUGUUUGUUUUUCAGAGCGGACCUGCCCAAUAUCUACAAAUGUCCAUACCCAGGCUGCUUAUCUGUAAAAAAAAAAAAGGAGCAGGGCAUGAAGGUCAGAUUAAGUGCUCCUUACAGCACUGUUAAUCCUCUUAUGAACAUGUCUGUUGGUACAUUACCGUUUUGUCUCUGGGGUACAGAAACACAUUAAGGAGCACUAUGAAGAGGUCUGCGAGCGGCCCUGCCCUCCCCAUAGGCUGCAACAAAGUCUUCAUGAUUGACCGCUACCUGCAGCGACAGGUCCAACUCAUUCACAUUGAGUUGGGGAACUACAUCUGUGACCAAUGUGGUCAGACCUUCAAGCAGAGGAAACACCUGGAUGUGCCACUCAGGGGUUAAGCCACUACAGGGGGAGAUUAAGCUCAUAUCAGGAGGCAAGGUUCUGCUGAUUUGUGUUGUGAGGGGCUCAAGCACUGAUGACCAAACAAGGCAGAGGCUGAUCUGGAAUUUGCAUGUGAACUGUGUGGGGAACGCUUUGAGAAGGCCCACAACCUCAACAGACACGGUGCAUCCCCUCACACUAGCAGCUGUCAGAGGAAACAUUGACAGCCCCUCCAACACCCAACAUACGGACCAUCAGAGACUGGGGAACUGAAUCCAUACACCGGUUGAUAGACUUGAUUAGGUCCGUGACCAACAAGGAGCUGCGAAGACCACAACGUCCCUUGAGCCUCUAUAUAAGGAGUCUGAUAUAGAAUGGUAAUGGGUAGUGACUAAUUGAACAGAACAUGGAAUCACUAGUCACUUUUAAUGUUUACAUACUGUUGUACUCAUUUCGAUUGUAUAUACUGUAUUCUAGUCAAUGCCACUCAGACAUUGCUCGUCCUAACUUAUAUUUCUUAAUUCCAUUAUUUUACUUUUAGAUGUGUGUAUUGUUGAAGUAUUAGAUACUACUGCACUGUUGGAGCUAGGAACACAAGCAUUUCACUACACCCACAAUAUCAGCUAAAUAUGUGUGUGACCAAUAACAAUUGAUUUGACUUGUACUGCUCAUGCUCUAAACCAGGAAUAGGAAACUGACUGGGGCCACAGAAAAAUAUGAACUCAUCAGUGGUGUAAAGUAGUUAUUUUGGGGUAUCUGUACUUUACUAUUUAUAUUUGACAACUUUUACUUCACUACAUUCCUAAAGAAAAUAAUGUACUUUUUACUUCAUUUUCCUUGACACCCAAAAGUACUCGUUACAUUUUGAACGCCAUCUGGUUUUCUUAAAUAUUUGUACUUUUACUUUUGAUACUUGAGUCAUUUUCCAUUAAAAAGUAUCUUUACUUUUUCCACCA
Salvelinus fontinalis (brook trout) is the source of this 2497-nucleotide long non-coding RNA. RefSeq lists it as uncharacterized. NCBI's taxonomy places the organism in Eukaryota, Metazoa, Chordata, Actinopteri, Salmoniformes, Salmonidae. The transcript is spliced from 5 exons. The record is from RefSeq and is a predicted model, not a curated record.